This 71-nucleotide transfer RNA is filed under the name Ixodes scapularis (black-legged tick). RNAcentral describes it as "tRNA-Ser". The record is from RNAcentral. Lineage: Eukaryota; Metazoa; Arthropoda; Arachnida; Ixodida; Ixodidae.
UCCUGGUUAACUCAGUCGGUAGAUCACUCCACUGGAAUUGGAGGGCCCUGGUUUGAUACCAGGACCAGGCG